RNAcentral lists this ribosomal RNA (406 nucleotides) under uncultured bacterium. Its description in RNAcentral is "partial 16S ribosomal RNA". It matches the Rfam family "Bacterial small subunit ribosomal RNA", at positions 30 to 526 of the family's 1533-position model. The record is from RNAcentral.
AUUGAACUCUGGCGGCAGGCCUAACACAUGCAAGUCGAACGAGUGGCGGACGGGUGAGUAAUGUCUGGGAAACUGCCCGAUGGCGGGGGAUAACUACUGGAAACGGUAGCUAAUACCGCAUACCAUCGGAUGUGCCCCGAUUGGAUUGGCUUGUAGGUGAGGUAACGGCUCACCUAGGCGACGAGCCCUAGCUGGUCUGAGAGGAUGCACCGCCACACUGGGACUGAGACACGGUCCAGACUCCUACGGGAGGCAGCAGUGGGGAAUAUGGCACAAUGGGCGCAAGCCUGAUGCAGCCAUGCCGCGUGUAUGAAGAAGGCCUUAGGGUUGUAAAGUACUUUCAGCGGGGAGGCGGUACCCGCAGAAGAAGCACCGGCUAACUCCGUGCCAGCAGCCGCGGUAAUAC